UGCAGAAUCCCGUGAACCAUCGAGUCUUUGAACGCAAGUUGCGCCCGAAGCCACUAGGUUGAGGGCACGCCUGCCUGGGUGUC
RNAcentral lists this ribosomal RNA (83 nucleotides) under Lablab purpureus (hyacinth bean). RNAcentral's name for it is "partial 5.8S ribosomal RNA". It matches the Rfam family "5.8S ribosomal RNA", at positions 73 to 153 of the family's 154-position model. Rfam says of the family: 5.8S ribosomal RNA (5.8S rRNA) is a component of the large subunit of the eukaryotic ribosome. It is transcribed by RNA polymerase I as part of the 45S precursor that also contains 18S and 28S rRNA. Functionally, it is thought that 5.8S rRNA may be involved in ribosome translocation. The record is from RNAcentral. Lineage: Eukaryota; Viridiplantae; Streptophyta; Magnoliopsida; Fabales; Fabaceae.